AGAUAGCAGUAGCCGCGGGAAUACGAAGGGUGCAAGCGUUACUCGGAAUUACUGGGCGUAAAGCGUGCGUAGGUGGUGGUUUAAGUCCGUUGUGAAAGCCCUGGGCUCAACCUGGGAAUUGCAGUGGAUACUGGGUCACUAGAGUGUGGUAGAGGAUAGUGGAAUUUCCGGUGUAGCAGUGAAAUGCGUAGAGAUCGGAAGGAACAUCUGUGGCGAAGGUGACUAUCUGGGCCAACACUGACACUGAGGCACGAAAGCGUGGGGAGCAAACAGGAUUAGAUACCCCCGUAGUCCCUGUCUCUUAUAC
This 307-nucleotide ribosomal RNA is filed under the name uncultured bacterium. RNAcentral describes it as "partial 16S ribosomal RNA". It matches the Rfam family "Bacterial small subunit ribosomal RNA", at positions 504 to 807 of the family's 1533-position model. The record is from RNAcentral.